This 1657-nucleotide long non-coding RNA is filed under the name Homo sapiens (human). RNAcentral's name for it is "HSALNT0060011". The record is from RNAcentral. Lineage: Eukaryota; Metazoa; Chordata; Mammalia; Primates; Hominidae.
AUCACUAGUAAAAUCUAGGAUGCUGAUCAAACUACACUUCAGGCUGCCUCUAGCCAGCUGCCUGAUUUAGCAGGGGAAGGGUGGUCCUGAGCUUCCCUGGCUUCACAACACCCUCAGCUGCAGGGUCAGAACCCUCUGGAAUUCUUCUAUUUGAUCCUCAGUCCCGGAAAGGUGGCAGGAGGGCAUGGUAAGCUUCAUAGCAAGGAAGGUGAGGAAGCUGGAGCUGGCGGGGACUUGAUCCACACAGGUGACACAGCCAGGAAGGGUAUCAGCUGGUGGCCCAGGCUCUGUCUCUGUCCUCACAUCUGGCUACACAGGCACAGGUGUAGCAUGUGUACUACACAUGUGAUCUCCAGUUUGAUGUCUUCUGCAGAGUGCUCUCAACCCUGGAGACGGCAGAACCAAGUCUCUCUACACCCUUUCCCAGCAAGGGGCCAGGGCCACAGAGGAAGAAUCGCCCCUGAACUCUCAGAAUCCUAAAGCUUCAAUGGUUCUGGAAAUCAGAAGUCCCAGAAUGAAGGUGCCAUCGGUGGCGCUGGUUCCUCCUGGAGGCUCUAAGGGAAACUCCGUCUCCUGUGCUUCCCCAGCUUCCAGAGGUGACCUGCAUUCCCCAGCUCCUUGCCCCCUCUUCCAUCCUCAGAGCCACAGCUUGGCAUCCUCCAGUCUCUGUCUCUGACCUCUUCUUCGGUCCUCGUUCCUCCUACUGCCCCUCGCAUAAGGACCCUUGUGAUUACGCUGGAUCCACCAGAUAACCCAGGAUCCUCCCCCCAUCUCCAGACCCUUAACUUAAUCACAUCCACGAAGGAAGUCCCUGCUGCCUUGUAAAGUAACAUCUUCCCAGGUUCUGGGGAUUCAUAUGUGGACAGCUUUGAGGAGCCACUCAAUUGUGAAGGUCCACCAUAGUACCUUCAUAACUUCAAAUCAUAGGUUUAAACCUCUGUAUCUUAUCCCAUCCAUUUCAGUGUAGCUCUUGCCUGCCCACGCCAUUUGCUUGAUAAAUAUUUGUUCUGGGAGCUAGGUUUGCACAACUGAUCAAGCCAGGCAAAGCCUUAUUUUCCCAAAGCCUAUAUUCCAGUGGGGAAAGACAGGCAAUACAUGGGAUAAAUGAAUAAAUGAUAUUCUCAGCACAAUUGCUUUUUGGAGGAUAACUUGGUAAAAUUUAUGAAAAUUUAAAUUGUGCCUGUUCUCUGACUCUGCAAGCCUGCUGUUAAAAAUUCAUAUAUAAUGAUAUGUGUACAAGCCUGUUCUUUUUUUUUUUUUAAUGAAAUAAUUUUUAUUUGCUGUGAUUAUACAUAUUGACAUUUGCACACUUUUUAAAACUUUUUAUUUGGAAAAAAUUUAAAUUUUAUAGAUAAGUUGCAAAUAUAAAAAGAGUGUAAAGAAUACCCAUACACCCUUUUCCCAGAAAGACUUAUUGUUAGCAUUUCACACAAUUGGCUUUUUGGUUUCUUUCUUUCCCCACCCACCUCACCCCAUGGUUCUCUCUCUCCAUACAUGUUACAUACACAUAAUUAUAUACUUAAUUUUUUUCUUAGUAAAUUGAAGGUGUCACAUACAUGAUGGCCCUUUACUCCAAACAUCAGUGCAUAUUUCCUAAGAAUGUAGAUAUUCUCUUACUUAGCCCCAGUAGUUAUAUAUAUAUAUAUAUAUAUAUAUA